ACGCUCGACACCUACGGGGGCAGCAGUAGGGAAUCUUCCACAAUGGGCGCAAGCCUGAUGGAGCAACACCGCGUGAGUGAAGAAGGGUUUCGGCUCGUAAAGCUCUGUUGUUGGAGAAGAACGUGCGUGAGAGUAACUGUUCACGCAGUGACGGUAUCCAACCAGAAAGUCACGGCUAACUACGUGCAGCAGCCGCGGUAAUCUGAGGCGGGCGUGGACGAAGGC
RNAcentral lists this ribosomal RNA (225 nucleotides) under uncultured bacterium. Its description in RNAcentral is "partial 16S ribosomal RNA". It matches the Rfam family "Bacterial small subunit ribosomal RNA", at positions 328 to 545 of the family's 1533-position model. The record is from RNAcentral.